Molecule: RNA transcript, 1534 nt
Organism: Nannospalax galili (Upper Galilee mountains blind mole rat)
Lineage: Eukaryota; Metazoa; Chordata; Mammalia; Rodentia; Spalacidae
Gene: Fam186b
Gene name: family with sequence similarity 186 member B
Exons: 3
Source: RefSeq, a predicted model, not a curated record
UGCCCCCCAUAUAGGAUAUUUCUACCCAGCUCUCAGACAUCUUGUACAAUGUCAAUUGUGCCAUCAACUGCUUCCAGGAAGAAUUAGGGUAUGAUUUAAAAGAAAAGGCAAAGCCUCACCAACCACAGCAAAAAGAGAUUCAUCUUGCUGGAGAAAACUGCCUCCUUCUCUAAAGAUGCUAAGACUAAAGAGAAACACCUGUAUGACCUCCUCCACUGGCUGGGUGACUGGGGAGCAGAAAUGACACAGUCUACCCCAGGACGAGUGGCCACUUAUGAAAGCAGGAAGCCUGGCGCACACUGCACAACCUACAGGCAGCUCAACAGGCUGCAGAGUGUGAUUUCCAGAUGGCUCUGCUGGGUGACAGUCUGACCUAUGAGAUCCAGGCACAGGAAGAGGAAGCCCUGGAUGAAUGGAUCCAGGUGAUGGAGAAAGUGUUGCCUUUCUCCCUCACGGCCACCAAAGGAGGCAUCAAGUCUCCUUUGCUCCACUCUCCUGGAAGAACGAAAGAAAAAGACACAAAGCAGUUUCCUGGAACACCUGGCAGGACAGCUGUGGGGAUGGGCUGGAUGCAGUCUCAGGGAAGAAGUCUCAGGGGGUUUAUCAAGGCCUCUGACCCUGCUCUAUAACAAAGGUGCAAAAAACAGUAGAGUGGUAACCUAGGGGGCAGAGCUGGAGGCACUGGAACCACGCUGAGCGUGGAGUUGUCCUGAGCUGCGCCACAGGUUAGGUGGGGAUGGGUGCUUCCUGCGGGUUCUGGGAAACAAGGCCUGAAGGCCAGGAAGGCCACAAUUUUCAGGCAGAGCUUGAGGAGCAGCUUUUCUUCCUGCCAAACCCAGCUGCCAAGCCAAGAGUUGGUACGUUUCAGGGGAAGUCCCUCUGGAGGCUUCCUGGCUUUUCCCGAGGUAAUCAGUCCACAGCCUGGCUAAACUUGGAAUUUUAUUCCUGUUCACACUAUAAGUGACCAGAGAUUAUGGGUCAUAAGAAGGCUGGUGACAAAGCCACCCCCCCACACACACACACUUCGACUUUGGAGUCAGACAUACCAAUUUGAAUCUUAUCUCUGCCAAUUUUGGGUUGGGUGGCUUUGGGUAUCUUUACCUCAUCUCUCUGAGCCUGUUUCUCCAUAUAUAAAAUUAGGAGAAUAUUAUCUCCCUUCCAGGCUGCAGGGAGGCUUUCAUGGAGUAGGAGAUGGCUAAUACUGUGCUUGGUAUUCAGAGCUUAAUAAAUGGUAGCUGAUAUUAGCAUUUCCAUGGAUUCACAUGGACAAGGUCAUUGUCAUUAUCAGUCAAGUGAGAUCAAACAUUGGGGAGGAAGGCAGGGAAAAAUGGACAGGUUGACUGCCUCUCCAAACUCUUCACCACACUCCAUCUUGAAAUAUAAUUACUUGCAAACUUAUUUCCUUGCUAGAGUGUAAACUCUUUUGCAUGUGAAAGACAUAUAUUUAUUUUUAUGUGUAUGUGUGUAUGCCUGAGUGUAUGUAAGUGUACCAUGUGUGCACAGGAGCCCACAGAGGCCAGAAUAGGGCAUUGGA